RNAcentral lists this ribosomal RNA (142 nucleotides) under uncultured eukaryote. RNAcentral describes it as "partial 18S ribosomal RNA". It matches the Rfam family "Eukaryotic small subunit ribosomal RNA", at positions 1299 to 1458 of the family's 1831-position model. The record is from RNAcentral.
UGGUGGAGUGAUUUGUCUGGUUAAUUCCGUUAACGAACGAGACCUCGACCUGCUAAAUAGCUCGGCUUAAGGUUCGCCUUAUGUACGUGGCUUCUUAGAGGGACUAUUGGUGUGUAGCCAAUGGAAGUUCGAGGCAAUAACA